RNAcentral lists this ribosomal RNA (491 nucleotides) under uncultured bacterium. Its description in RNAcentral is "partial 16S ribosomal RNA". It matches the Rfam family "Bacterial small subunit ribosomal RNA", at positions 29 to 507 of the family's 1533-position model. The record is from RNAcentral.
AGUGAACGCUGGCGGUAGGCCUAACACAUGCAAGUCGAACGGCAGCACAGUAAGAGCUUGCUCUUACGGGUGGCGAGUGGCGGACGGGUGAGGAAUACAUCGGAAUCUACUUUUUCGUGGGGGAUAACGUAGGGAAACUUACGCUAAUACCGCAUACGACCUACGGGUGAAAGCAGGGGAUCUUCGGACCUUGCGCGAUUGAAUGAGCCGAUGUCGGAUUAGCUAGUUGGCGGGGUAAGGCCCACCAAGGCGACGAUCCGUAGCUGGUCUGAGAGGAUGAUCAGCCACACUGGAACUGAGACACGGUCCAGACUCCUACGGGAGGCAGCAGUGGGGAAUAUUGGACAAUGGGCGCAAGCCUGAUCCAGCCAUACCGCGUGGGUGAAGAAGGCCUUCGGGUCGUAAAGCCCUUUUGUUGGGAAAGAAAAGCAGCAGGUUAAUACCCCGCUGUUCUGACGGUACCCAAAGAAUAAGCACCGGCUAACUUCGUG